GCGAACGGGGAGGAGCCCAGAGCCUGAAUCAGUGUGUGUGUUAGUGGAAGCGUCUGGAAAGGCGCGCGAUACAGGGUGACAGCCCCGUACACAAAAAUGCACAUGCUGUGAGCUCGAUGAGUAGGGCGGGACACGUGGUAUCCUGUCUGAAUAUGGGGGGACCAUCCUCCAAGGCUAAAUACUCCUGACUGACCGAUAGUGAACCAGUACCGUGAGGGAAAGGCGAAAAGAACCCCGGCGAGGGGAGUGAAAAAGAACCUGAAACCGUGUACGUACAAGCAGUGGGAGCCUCUUUAUGGGGUGACUGCGUACCUUUUGUAUAAUGGGUCAGCGACUUAUAUUCUGUAGCAAGGUUAACCGAAUAGGGGAGCCGAAGGGAAACCGAGUCUUAACUGGGCGUUAAGUUGCAGGGUAUAGACCCGAAACCCGGUGAUCUAGCCAUGGGCAGGUUGAAGGUUGGGUAACACUAACUGGAGGACCGAACCGACUAAUGUUGAAAAAUUAGCGGAUGACUUGUGGCUGGGGGUGAAAGGCCAAUCAAACCGGGAGAUAGCUGGUUCUCCCCGAAAGCUAUUUAGGUAGCGCCUCGUGAAUUCAUCUCCGGGGGUAGAGCACUGUUUCGGCAAGGGGGUCAUCCCGACUUACCAACCCGAUGCAAACUGCGAAUACCGGAGAAUGUUAUCACGGGAGACACACGGCGGGUGCUAACGUCCGUCGUGAAGAGGGAAACAACCCAGACCGCCAGCUAAGGUCCCAAAGUCAUGGUUAAGUGGGAAACGAUGUGGGAAGGCCCAGACAGCCAGGAUGUUGGCUUAGAAGCAGCCAUCAUUUAAAGAAAGCGUAAUAGCUCACUGGUCGAGUCGGCCUGCGCGGAAGAUGUAACGGGGCUAAACCAUG
This 897-nucleotide ribosomal RNA is filed under the name Escherichia coli. RNAcentral's name for it is "partial 23S ribosomal RNA". It matches the Rfam family "Bacterial large subunit ribosomal RNA", at positions 253 to 1191 of the family's 2925-position model. The record is from RNAcentral. Lineage: Bacteria; Pseudomonadati; Pseudomonadota; Gammaproteobacteria; Enterobacterales; Enterobacteriaceae.